GGGGUUGUAGCUCAGCUGGUUAGAGCGCCUGCCUGUCACGCAGGAGGCCGCGGGUUCGAGUCCCGUCAAUCCCGCCA
RNAcentral lists this transfer RNA (77 nucleotides) under Rickettsiales bacterium. Its description in RNAcentral is "tRNA-Asp". It matches the Rfam family "tRNA". From Rfam's summary of the family: Transfer RNA (tRNA) molecules are approximately 80 nucleotides in length. Their secondary structure includes four short double-helical elements and three loops (D, anti-codon, and T loops). The record is from RNAcentral. Lineage: Bacteria; Pseudomonadati; Pseudomonadota; Alphaproteobacteria; Rickettsiales.